Molecule: ribosomal RNA, 255 nt
Filed under: uncultured bacterium
Lineage: Bacteria
Description: partial 16S ribosomal RNA
Rfam family: Bacterial small subunit ribosomal RNA
Source: RNAcentral
UACGUAGGCAGCGAGCGUUUGUUCGGAGUUACUGGGCGUAAAGGGUGUGUAGGCGGUUGUUUAAGUUUGGUGUGAAAUCUCCCGGCUCAACUGGGAGGGUGCGCCGAAUACUGAAUGACUUGGAGUGCGGGAGAGGAAAGUGGAAUUCCUGGUGUAGCGGUGAAAUGCGUAGAUAUCAGGAGGAACACCGAUGGCGAAGGCGGCUGCCUGGCCCAAUACUGACACUCAGGUGCGACAGCGUGGGGAGCAAACAGG